This 215-nucleotide ribosomal RNA is filed under the name Acinetobacter ursingii. Its description in RNAcentral is "partial 16S ribosomal RNA". It matches the Rfam family "Bacterial small subunit ribosomal RNA", at positions 1 to 219 of the family's 1533-position model. The record is from RNAcentral. Lineage: Bacteria; Pseudomonadati; Pseudomonadota; Gammaproteobacteria; Moraxellales; Moraxellaceae.
AACUGAAGAGUUUGAUCAUGGCUCAGAUUGAACGCUGGCGGCAGGCUUAACACAUGCAAGUCGAGCGGAGAGAGGUAGCUUGCUACUGAUCUUAGCGGCGGACGGGUGAGUAAUACUUAGGAAUCUGGCUAUUAGUGGGGGACAACAUUUCGAAAGGGAUGCUAAUACCGCAUACGUCCUACGGGAGAAAGCAGGGGAUCUUCGGACCUUGCGCU